AUAAGUACAUGACCCAAAGCCCUUGGUAAACAAGAGCUGUGAUUUUUCUCCAAGGAGGAUUUGAUCCUAUUGUGGGUUUCAUUCUCCAAGCUCUCACACCAGACCAUGUGCUUCCCCUCCCACUCCCACAUGCUGGUGAUUACAGUUCUGUGGCUUAGCCCAGGCCUUUUCCUGUCCCUUUCAUCAGUGUCCACUUGACAAAUGACUACUUAUCUAAGUCUUAGCUCCCCAUUGUACCAGUCUUCUGUUGUUUCUAACCCUUGGGCCCCAGAAUUCCAAAUGUUUUAUAGUUCCUUUCACUUUUGCCCUUUCUCUGCGAAGCCAUGUUUUCUGUGACACUGUCACGGUGAACCUUAAAGGGCUUAGGCUGUGCUGCAUGUGCCGCUGUACCCCUAAUACUAGCCUAGAGCCUGAUACAUCAUGCAUGCUGAACAGACGUCUGUAGAAUCGAAUUGAGUGAGUUCUGGAGGAAAGAGCGAGCCAUUGAGGUAUUUUAAGAAGGAAAUACGGCAUGUUUGAGAGGGAGAGUGUUGCCUGGAGACAGACAUGUUACUGUAAAUAAGUCAAGGUCAAGGUUUGGCUCCCAGCUAAGGCAGAAGCCGGAGAAAAGGAUGGAGCAAAAGCAGGUCUGGCAAGCUCAGUUGUGGGGGAGUGGAGGCUGACGGAGAACAAUUGGAGGUUGACUCGCAGGCUCCUAUGUUAGGAAGGGUGACCCAUGGGGGGGCAUUAAGGGAGGGAUCUUAUGCAAGAGAGAGAAGGUGUUGGGUAUAUCCCAGAAAAUGGCAAAGGUUCUCUGAAACCAAAGAAAGAUACUAUGAUCAUGUCCUUUCCUGAAUUAAUAAAAGAGCACCAUUCAAUAGCAGGAAGCCAGGUCU
Perognathus longimembris pacificus (Pacific pocket mouse) is the source of this 875-nucleotide long non-coding RNA. RefSeq lists it as uncharacterized. The record is from RefSeq and is a predicted model, not a curated record. NCBI's taxonomy places the organism in Eukaryota, Metazoa, Chordata, Mammalia, Rodentia, Heteromyidae. The transcript is spliced from 3 exons.